RNAcentral lists this long non-coding RNA (371 nucleotides) under Fukomys damarensis (Damara mole-rat). Its description in RNAcentral is "lncRNA (ENSFDAG00000027500.1)". Lineage: Eukaryota; Metazoa; Chordata; Mammalia; Rodentia; Bathyergidae. The record is from RNAcentral.
UUUAGAAAAGAGCUCAAAACAAGAUUUAGUUGUUGUCUCAAGAGAAAAUUAUACAAAGCUAUUAAAAACUUCUCCAGGAAGGUGCAUGGAUUUUUCUGUCAGAGAGAGCCUCAGCAGCCAGGGAGAAGAAAGAGGUUGACAGUUAAGAAUCCAUCAUGCCUGCAUGAGGAAGCCUGUAAGGAAAUCCCAGAACUUGAGAUUCAGGAGUUUCUGGUUUGCUGGAUGUAUUGAAGGUGCCCAUGGGACAAAGCACUAGGAGAGGGAAUGGAAGUUUUGUCCCUUUCCACAUAUUCUGUUUUAUGGAUUCCUUUGGUGUGCCUGUUCAUCUGCCUCCAUUGUAAUAACCUUUAAAAUAAAUGGGUAAAUUCAAG